This is a microRNA precursor of Vulpes vulpes (red fox), 65 nucleotides long. Ensembl annotates it as microRNA 16-2. Its record names the gene MIR16-2. The record is from Ensembl. Lineage: Eukaryota; Metazoa; Chordata; Mammalia; Carnivora; Canidae.
UAGCAGCACGUAAAUAUUGGCGUAGUGAAAUAAAAAUUAAACACCAAUAUUAUUGUGCUGCUUUA